This 76-nucleotide transfer RNA is filed under the name Patescibacteria group bacterium. RNAcentral's name for it is "tRNA-Pro". It matches the Rfam family "tRNA". From Rfam's summary of the family: Transfer RNA (tRNA) molecules are approximately 80 nucleotides in length. Their secondary structure includes four short double-helical elements and three loops (D, anti-codon, and T loops). The record is from RNAcentral.
CGGGCCGUAGCGCAGUUGGUAGCGCGCCUGCUUUGGGAGCAGGAAGUCGUGGGUUCGAGUCCCACCGGCCCGACCA